GACGACGUAGCUCAGUUGGUGAGAGCGCCGAGCUCAUAUCUCGGAGGUCGAAGGUUCGAACCCUUCCGUCGCCA
Molecule: transfer RNA, 74 nt
Filed under: Salipiger mucosus DSM 16094
Lineage: Bacteria; Pseudomonadati; Pseudomonadota; Alphaproteobacteria; Rhodobacterales; Roseobacteraceae
Rfam family: tRNA
About the family: Transfer RNA (tRNA) molecules are approximately 80 nucleotides in length. Their secondary structure includes four short double-helical elements and three loops (D, anti-codon, and T loops). Further hydrogen bonds mediate the characteristic L-shaped molecular structure. tRNAs have two regions of fundamental functional importance: the anti-codon, which is responsible for specific mRNA codon recognition, and the 3' end, to which the tRNAs corresponding amino acid is attached (by aminoacyl-tRNA synthetases). tRNAs cope with the degeneracy of the genetic code in two manners: having more than one tRNA (with a specific anti-codon) for a particular amino acid; and 'wobble' base-pairing, i.e. permitting non-standard base-pairing at the 3rd anti-codon position.
Source: Rfam by way of RNAcentral